Falco peregrinus (peregrine falcon) is the source of this 6990-nucleotide long non-coding RNA. RefSeq lists it as uncharacterized. The record is from RefSeq and is a predicted model, not a curated record. The transcript is spliced from 3 exons. Lineage: Eukaryota; Metazoa; Chordata; Aves; Falconiformes; Falconidae.
AAAGAAGAAAUCUCUCUGGCGGCUUAAACUGGAUCUUCAGCUGCUGCAUCCCCAGAAGUGGGCUCAGUUUCCUCCUUCCCUCCCCCUAUUCACUUGUAUAUGAAGAAGGAGGGAAUGAACCGCUGGAGGCACGAGGAGAUCUGCUCCCCUCCCAGCUCCCAGGCAAACCACUGCCUGCCUAGAUACAACGGGGAGAAAAAGCCUUUGAAAGCACCUUGGAAGGAGGGCGACAUGCAUUAAGGAGUAAUCUUGCUCCAUGGCAAUGAGUCGAGGCUGAGAUGCCAUGAAGAGUUACUGUGCUUGGUGUUGCUGCAGAUGCACGCUGAGGGGAAGCUGCAGAGCCCUUGCCUUCAGGUGGUGUAUUUGCAGUGGGACCUUCAGCUCUUGCCUAUGUGACAUGCUCGUUGCAGCUCUCAUUGGACACCAUGUCACCUACUAAACCCCCGAGUGAAAGAGAAAGGCUCAAGAGGUGAUAAGGUCCUCUGUCAGCCUCCAGAGAGGCUGUUGCUGGGUGUGACUCAGUGCAUCCCAACAGCCUCAUCUCCCUGUGCAAAUCUGCAGGAGACCUUGAAAAGUUUCCAUAGUUUUUGAUAUAUUUCUAAAAAACAUUGCCCCGGUCAUCACAAGAGACGUGACAGCUCCAUUUAAAACUAAACAAAGAAGAUUUGAAGUAUGAAAAAUCAUAUUGACUAAAACUUUGGCACUCAGACAGCACUUGGGACUUGAAUGGAAUUGAAAAAUAAAUAAAUUCAGCACUGUGUAGGCAAAGAAAGCCUUACCUCAGGAUUAUUUGCUUUAUAAUUUGUCCCACACAAAGAGCUAUGUUAAGAUUGCCAAACUAGAAGUCAUGGGAAUGACAGAUUGAAGGCUGCCAGGCAAUCCUACCCUGCCUUCUCAUAUACAUUAUUUAUGCUUAUUCAUUGUAAUAUAGUCUUCAAAUAAAUAUGUGUGCAAAUUAUCUUCCCUGCAGAAGCACAUAAUGAAAAUACCCAGUGAAUGAGCAACCAACCUAUACUACGUAAAAGGAGCUUGAAGCCAAUAUUAAUUUUUGAAAUCUGGUGUUACUUCAGAUUUUCUUGUUUCAGUACACGUUAAAACAAUUUUUGGUUUUUCUAUUGUAAAACUUUGAAAACAACUGUUCAAGAGCAACUGAAAAAUAUCUAUAACUUUGCACACUGUGUUUUUGUUUCUGAAUUUUGUUUCACUCUUAAACACAUUUUUUUCUCCCCUGGGAACAUCUCCGCUUCCUGGAGCAAAGCUCUGCCCAGGCAGGUACCCCAUCGCCAGCGGUGGCCAACAGCAGAGAGGUUGCAAGCACAGGAAAAUGCACAUGUAUACAUAUCUGCUUGACGUCUAGAGUAUAGAAUUAUUACCAGAGACUGCAGUCUGUGAGUAUGGUGUAGAAGCCCUGAAUAUUCUCCUGCCAGCUGGUAAGCAUUUCAGUAUUGACUACGUCAUGUGGCAGUUACACAGAUCUUUGCCUAAUUAACUGUUGUGCAAAGAGCCAUUGCAUCUUGUCUUGAGCCUGGUCCCUGCUAAUUUAAUUUGAUGUCAUCUGAUUUUUGUAAAGGAAGAGAGGCUGGGGGAUAUUUUCUUGUUCACUUUCUUCCUAUUUAUAUUUCAUCAUUUUCUCCUCAGUCCUCCCUAUUUUUGAGAUGAAAAGCUGUAGCUUGCUCAAGUACUUCCUGUGUGAAAUUCAUCCAAAACCUGCAUGCCCUUGUAGCCCGUCUUGGAGCCUUUCCAUUUCUAUACUAUCAUUUUCAAUAGAGAAAAGUGCCCAGAGAUUUCCAGACAUGAGCCCACCCUGGGUUUCUCCAGUGCAUAAUGGUGGUGUCUCCUCCGUUCUCCAGUCUCUGUAACCUUCAACCCAUUCUGGUCAAGCUGAUGAAGCUGGAACGUACUGACUAUAGCAAAAGACAUCACUUAAAUGUAUUCUAAAUGACACUUGCACUAUCUAGGAGCAAGGAUGGCAAUGCUGGAAAAAUAUUUCCUGGAACUUUCCCUUAUUCCUGCUUUUCAUUAAUGCUUACCACCCUGGCAUUUCUGUGCCUACUGUGUUACAAACUUUUUUCUACACCAUGCAUUGAGAUCCAAGCUCUUACCCCUAGGUGGUGGGGUGGGGUGGUAUGUUAUGGUACAGUAUGGUCUGGUACAGUACGGUAUGAUAUGGUAUGGUAUGGUAUUGUUGUGUGCUGAUGGCAGCCAAGGGUGUUGCUGCUGAGCCAGCCCUCACCGGGGCAAGCUCACAACGCAGGACACUCCCCUAGAAACUUGAAAUGCUGUUUUGAAGGAAAAAAAAAGAUCAUUGCUGUGCAUGAAUUAAGAAAUAAGGGUAAAUAUGCAAUGUUGUUUGGGGUGCAAUCAUCUCAGUAAACUUUCUAAGUCAAUAAGGGGUCUCUAAGCUGAGCUUAUCCUUGUCUCCACUUAACUUAGAGUGAUUAGAGAGAUAAUGGGGCUUUGGGGCAGUCAAAGUAAAUUCCUAAACUGAGUCAGACCAACAGGGCCCUAGCAGCGUCCAUUUGUCACCAUUCCCUGUAAAAGAAACUGGUGCUGGCUUGGUUGGAUGCAGUUGUCUAAGGCCAGCUGGGAGGAACCUCAACCCUCAGGACCAAGUUGACUCUAUCCAGAAAAGACAAGAAAGGUUGUACUGUUUUGCUGGUGAGGUCUCUGCAUCCAGCUUCUCUCGCAUGGAGAGGAGGCGGCAGCUGGAGAAGGUGUUCAGGAUGACACUGAAAACUACACCUUGUUGACUUGGCCAGCAGCAGGGAUGAGGGAAUAGUCAUUUGGGAUGAUACAGAUAAAUCUGAAGGUGAGGAGGGUCAUUGGUGGUGUGAGGGUGUAGAGGCUACAGAAUAAUGAGGUUUAAUGCAAGAGCUAGAAGGGUUCCAGGGUGCUGUCGCUGGGGCUCAGCUGUCAGGAGGAUGCUGGGAUGUUCAGAUGGUGCUCGGACCAAGAAGCCUGAGGGGCAGCGGUCACUGGUGGCAACGUCAUUGGGAAGAUGCUGAGGUGCAGAACAAGGACAUGCUGGCAUGACUAAGGCAGAGGUUUAGUUUUACGGUGAUUUUUUUUAUGGGGUGAGGAGCUGGUGGGAGUGUGAGGGGAGACUGGCAGUUGACUUGGCUGGGGAAGAGAGAGAUCAUUAGGACAUAUGAGUAAGGAUACAGUUUAUGGCCAUUGCUUCUUGCCUUUCUUCAAGCUCCUCUUCCAUAACUGCUCUGUGUUAUGCUUCAGGGCCUGCAGCAACACAUGGUAUUAGGGCCUUUUGUCAUCUCUCUGCAGCCCAGCCUGGCAACAGCUGCUCUUUCUUCCUCCCCAGGCUGCAAGGAAGGGAGCACAAGCAGCUAGUCUGGCUGUGCACCACAUCUCACUUAUCUCCUCCACAGCAUCAGGGAACAGUGUGCAUGACAGAUGGCAGAGAAGUCUGCCUUGAUCCCAUGCUGAGGUGCUCCACCAAGGAUAAGCACUAAUGUAUCUCCUUGGUGGAGAAUUGAAGCCUUAGACCUAACCAGGGCACAGCAGUAACAGGCUUUCAGCCAGUGCAGGACGUCCCUGUGAGCAGGAAGAACCUCACGUGCCAGUCGACUUCCAGAUUUCUGCUUAUAAAGGAGGAAGCGGGUGACCUUAGCUCGGCUCUGGGCUCUGGAAAGGACAUGGUAGCUAUCACCAAGAUGUUUUCUUCCCCCUCCCUUACGUUCUCCUCCCUCCUCCUCCUGACCACACUGAUCCUCUUGUCCCACCAGUCAUCCUGCCCCAGCUCCUGGGCACUACUUUGGAGCGCUAGCAUUUACCUUUCCAGCUCCUUAUGUCAUCACAGUUUUAUUCUCACUGGUUUGUAAUCCAAGUGCCUUUUUACCUUGCUACCUCAGCCCCAGUUCCCUGCUCACAUCCAGCUCCAGCCCUGGGGCUCCCAGCGCAGCUGCAGCCUGGGUGCCCAGAGGCAGCAGCACUGGGCACAAGCAGCAUCCAGCUCUGCUGCCUGCUGGGGACAAUCCUGCCAGGAGCUGGAAGCUGGCAGGGGACACAGCGUGCCCUGUGCUGACACAACCCUCUGCAAAUUCAUCUGCCAAGCUGACAAGUCUCUGCUAAAGUAUGUGAGCUGAGACUUCUUAAAAACACAUUUAUAAUUUGGCUACAUCUUCUGGCAUCGGGGUGACCUCCCCUUUCUUUUGCCAAAUUUCAAGCUCUUGCUCAAAUAAAUGGUUGCCUAAUCUUGCCCUGAAAACCACAGAACCAUUUUUACUGAAACUGCCCUCCCCUUUUCUCCUCUGAAAAGAAAAUGGAGGGGGAAAGAAUCAGCCCCAGGCCAAGACUUGGCAGAAGACGUUUCAGCCUGGGUCUCCAGUCUCAUCAUUUGUAGAGUGCCCACAAGCAAGCAAGAAGCUGUGCUCUUGUGACUGCAAAUCGGUGUCAUCAGCUGAAGAAGGUGACCCAGCUCUGCCAUCUGGGCCAUCAUACUGGCCCACCUGACCUAGUAGCCUGCUGCGCAGCUCAUACACCCAGGAUGUGGAAGACCUGUUGUGAAUUCCCUCCUUACUUUGAAGAGUUAAACGAGUACAACCAACAUGUCUGGGUUAUAGAUAACUUGGAAUAUGCCACAAUUUGCCGAUCUUCCUAUAGAUGCUUGGACUAUCAAGCAGCCAAGGAUUAUAGAGUGCUGGGGCUGAAGACGUGAGUGCCUCCUAUGGUGUGGGACAGUGGCAAGUAGGUAGGAGUGGAUUUUCCUCCAACAAACCAGGUUAACAAGGAAAACAGUCAGGCUGCUUCUUGCUUUCUUUAGACUCGUGACUAGUUUUUUUGGCUGCAUUAUUUUGGACAUAGGUGCUCAGUUGUCUUAUGAACAGCUUAGAAAUCUACUGCCAGACCUGGCUCUGAGAGUUCGCUUGACCUUCAGAAGGUGUGGGUAGGAUGAAGGAGGAGAAGUACACAACAAAGGUUAGCAAUAACUAGGACUUGUAGCCUUUGAAUCUGAAGGGUACGUUUUUCUCCAUUCAAAGCUGAGAGGACCUGAGACAUCAGCACUCUCAUAUGCUUCUAUUUUAAGCAGGCUGUAUGUGAUAAGCAAGCAGCAAGCAUGCUGUUAAAUGUGGAAUUUAGAAUCAUAGAAUCAUUUAGGUUGGAAAAGACCUUUGAGAUCAUCCAGUCCAACCAUUAACCCAGCACUGCCAAAUCCACCACUAAACCACAUCCCUAAGCACCAUGUCUACACAUCUUUUAAAUACCUCCAGGGACGGUGACUCAACCACUUCCCUGGGCAGCCUGUUCCAAUGCUUGGUAAUCCUUUCGGUGAUGAGAUUUUUCCUAAUAUCCAAUCUAAACCUCCCCUGGCACAACUUGAGGCUACUUCCUCUUGUCCUAGCACUUGUUACCUGGGAGAAGAGACGGACCCCCACCUGCCUACAGCCUCCUGUCAGGUAGUUGUAGAGAGCAAUAACGUUCCCCCUGAGCAUCCUUUCCUCCAGGCUGAACACCCCCAGUUCCCUCAGCUGCUCCCCAUCAGACUUGUGCUCCAGACCCUUCACCAGCUCCGUUGCCCUUCCCUGGACACCUUCCAGCACCUUUGUGUCCUUCUUGCAGUGAGAGGCUCAGAACUGAACACAGGAUUCGAGGUGCAGCCUCACCAGUGCCCAGUACAGGGGGCGAUCACUGCCCUUGUCCUGCUGGCCACACUGUUUCUGAUACAAGCCAGGAUGCUGUUGGCCUUCUUGGCCACCUGGGCACACGGCUGGCUCAUGUUCAGCUGCCUGUCGACCAACACUUCUAGGUCCUUUCCCACCAGGCAGCUUUCCAGCUGCUUUUCCCCAAGCCCAUAGCGUCGUGGGGUUGUUGUGACCCAAGUGCAGGACCAUCUUGUUUAACCUUGGCCCAUCGAUCCAGCCUGUCCAGACCCCUCUGCAGGGAUUCUUCCUACCCAGAAGCAGAUCAACACUCCUGUCCAACCUGAUGCCAUCAGCAAGCUUACUGAGGGUGCACACGAUCCCCUCGUCCAGAUCAUUGACUUGCAGAAAGGGUGCGGGUAGUCUGCCCUGUGCUGGUUCUAGGAGAGCCCUGUUGGCUGCAGCAGAGUGGUCGGGUAUCCCAAAAGACACUCUCACUCGCCAGUCAUUCAAGUGUUAACUUUUUAUAGGAUGUAUUUCAGGAGCAUUGCCACUCCUUGCCUCCCACACCAGCUUGCAGAUCCCCUCUUGGAAAGGAGCCACCUCUGCCUGCUUUCCACCAACUCGGUGGAGGAGGACACUGAGACCCCAUGCACACGCAUGCUGUGGUGGUGGUGGCGGUCCUGCUGUGAAGCUACUGCGAAAGCACAAGUGACCUGUGGUUUCAUUUUCUGCCGGGCUUAUCUCAGGCAAUGAUCUAAUGCUUUCUGGAGUGACUUUCCAGACUCCAGAACCACGCCUGGUGUAACAAAAAAGCCCGAUUUGGUGACGAGGUGUAUGAAAGCUUCCCAAGAUACCCGUCAGUAGGAAGAACACAGGUGAGGCUGAGGCACCGCUCGCCCCCCCCCCCCCCCCCGCCCCCAACCAGUGUCAAAACCGAACUUUUUUUCCCUUAUUCGUCCACUCGGUGGUGCUAACACACCACCAGCCCCUUCCUGACAUUUCUCCCUGCUGUGUCAGGCGGAGGAUGGCCGUGCUCCUCGGGGAUGCUCAGGUCAUCGCUUUAAAAAGUCACCUCUACGAACCCAACAGCCAGGAAGCCUAAUUAGCUCCCUGCGCCCAUGCUUUGCACCCUGGUGCUUAGUUUCCAAUGGAACAGAUAUAAGAAACACAAAAGACUCAUCAUGCCUAAUUAGAUAGGAAGAGAUUAGCAAACUCACGAUCUUUUUCUCUAAUAAUUUGGGAUUCCAUGUUGUCUUUAGAGGAAAAGCAAAUGGAAUACUGUCAUUACGAGAACUACUCUUGUUUUUUUUUAAAAAAAGUGUUGACCGGUAAGAAUUGAUGCUGCUAGGCAAAUUUUGUGGGGAAAAUCACUUUUUAUUUAUCAACUGAUACA